RNAcentral lists this small nucleolar RNA (90 nucleotides) under Coniosporium apollinis CBS 100218. Its description in RNAcentral is "A. fumigatus snoRNA Afu_455". It matches the Rfam family "A. fumigatus snoRNA Afu_455". Lineage: Eukaryota; Fungi; Ascomycota; Dothideomycetes. The record is from Rfam by way of RNAcentral.
UAGCGUGAUGAUCAAGUGACACGGAAAGGCAUUCCUCAAUCUGAACAUAUACUGUCGAACCCGUCAAAUUAGUUUCAGCCUUGUCUGACA